RNAcentral lists this ribosomal RNA (1026 nucleotides) under uncultured bacterium. RNAcentral's name for it is "bacterial SSU rRNA". It matches the Rfam family "Bacterial small subunit ribosomal RNA", at positions 338 to 1376 of the family's 1533-position model. The record is from RNAcentral.
CCUACGGGAGGCAGCAGUAACGAAUCUUCCGCAAUGCACGAAAGUGUGACGGAGCGACGCCGCGUGUAGGACGAAGCCCUUCGGGGUGUAAACUACUGUCAGGGGUUAGAAAGUUCUGAUCAACCCCAGAGGAAGGCACGGCUAACUCUGUGCCAGCAGCCGCGGUAAGACAGAGGUGCCAAGCGUUAGGCGGAAUCACUGGGCUUAAAGCGUGUGUAGGCGGAUUUGUAAGUACCUUGUGAAAUCCCACGGCUCAACCGUGGAACUGCUUGGUAUACUGCUUAUCUUGAGCCACUUAGGGGCUACCGGAACAAAUGGUGGAGCGGUGAAAUGCGUAGAUAUCAUUUGGAACGCCAAUGGUGAAAACAGGUAGCUGGGAGUGUGCUGACGCUGAGACACGAAAGCCAGGGGAGCGAACGGGAUUAGAUACCCCGGUAGUCCUGGCCGUAAACGAUGUCGACUAGAUCGUGGCAGCUCUGACGUUGUCAUGGUCGAAGCAAAAGUGCUAAGUCGACCGCCUGGGAAGUACGGUCGCAAGGCUAAAACUCAAAGGAAUUGACGGGGGCUCACACAAGCGGUGGAGCAUGUGGUUCAAUUCGAAGCAACGCGCAGAACCUUACCUGGGCUUGACAUGCUAGGAUUAUCCCUAUGAAAGUAGGGUAGGCCCUUCGGGGUACAACUAGUACAGGUGCUGCAUGGCUGUCGUCAGCUCGUGUCGUGAGAUGUCGGGUUAAGUCCCUUAACGAGCGAAACCUUUGCCCUUAGUUACCAUCGGGUUAUGCCGGGGACUCUAAAGGGACUGCCGGUGUCAAACCGGAGGAGGUGGAGAUGACGUCAAGUCCUCAUGGCUUUAUGCCCAGGGCCACACACGUGCUACAAUGGCGUCCACAAAGCGAACCGAGAGCGCAAGCUGGAAGAAAUCGCACAAUGACCCCCCAGUUCAAAUUGGAGCUGCAACUCGCCUCCAUGAAGUGGAAUCCGCUAGUAAUCGCGGAUCAGCUACGCCGCGGGGGAAUACCGUCCAGG